AACUCUCCACCACCACCUUAUUACUCUCCUUCUCCAAAGGAAGACUACAAGUCUCCACCACCACCAUAUGUCUACAACUCUCCACCACCACCGUAUUACUCCCCUUCUCCUAAAGUAGACUACAAAUCUCCUCCACCACCAUACGUCUACAACUCUCCACCACCACCUUAUUACUCUCCUUCUCCAAAGGUAGAAUACAAGUCUCCACCACCACCAUAUGUCUACAACUCUCCACCACCACCUUAUUACUCUCUUUCUCCUAAAGUAGACUACAAGUCUCCACCACCACCAUACGUCUACAACUCUCCACCACCACCUUAUUACUCUCCUUCUCCAAAGGUAGACUACAAGUUUUCACCACCACCAUACGUCUACAACUCUCCAUCACCACCAUAUUACUCUCCUUCUCCUAAAGUAGACUACAAGUCUCCACCACCACCAUACGUCUACAACUCUCCACCACCACCUUAUUUCUCUCCUUCUCCAAAGGUAGACUAUAAAUCUCCUCCACCACCAUAUGUCUACAGCUCCCCACCACCUCCACCAUACUAUUCUCCUUCUCCAGAAGUCAGCUACAAGUCUCCACCACCUCCACCAUACUAUUCUCCUUCUCUAGAAGUCAGCUACAAGUCUCCACCACCACUUUUCGUCUACAACUUUCCACCACCUCCACCAUUCUAUUCUCCUUCUCCAAAAGUCAGCUACAAGUCUCCACCAGCACCUUAUGUCUCAAAGACACCCAACUAUUGAGUUUGAAUUGUUUCAUAAUCCAUAAGAAUGAUUGAAAUAAUUUGUUUUUAUGAUUCUGUCCAUUUAUUCUUGUAAUAUUGUCCCUUGAUUCUUUUGAUUUUGUUCCUUGUUCAACUAUUUGUUAAGCUUUUUAUGUAACCAAUAAAUUUUGGUUAUUUCUGACAUGCAAUUGUUUAUUUAAUAUUUGUUUGAAUUGGCUAAAAAUUUGUAAUAUGUUCGUUCUGCUAUCAGAUGAUAAUUUUUCUCUUUUA
Molecule: long non-coding RNA, 1001 nt
Filed under: Arabidopsis thaliana (thale cress)
Lineage: Eukaryota; Viridiplantae; Streptophyta; Magnoliopsida; Brassicales; Brassicaceae
Description: long non-coding RNA (ATHA_LNC000429)
Source: RNAcentral